Molecule: ribosomal RNA, 491 nt
Filed under: uncultured bacterium
Lineage: Bacteria
Description: partial 16S ribosomal RNA
Rfam family: Bacterial small subunit ribosomal RNA
Source: RNAcentral
GUGAACGCUGGCGGUAGGCCUAACACAUGCAAGUCGAACGGCAGCACAGUAAGAGCUUGCUCUUACGGGUGGCGAGUGGCGGACGGGUGAGGAAUACAUCGGAAUCUACUUUUUCGUGGGGGAUAACGUAGGGAAACUUACGCUAAUACCGCAUACGACCUACGGGUGAAAGCAGGGGAUCUUCGGACCUUGCGCGAUUGAAUGAGCCGAUGUCGGAUUAGCUAGUUGGCGGGGUAAAGGUCCACCAAGGCGACGAUCCGUAGCUGGUCUGAGAGGAUGAUCAGCCACACUGGAACUGAGACACGGUCCAGACUCCUACGGGAGGCAGCAGUGGGGAAUAUUGGACAAUGGGCGCAAGCCUGAUCCAGCCAUACCGCGUGGGUGAAGAAGGCCUUCGGGUUGUAAAGCCCUUUUGUUGGGAAAGAAAAGCAGCAGGUUAAUACCCCGCUGUUCUGACGGUACCCAAAGAAUAAGCACCGGCUAACUUCGUG